UUUAAUAAAGUAUUGUUUUCUUUUGUAUAAUAAUUAAAUAAACAUUCAUUUUAGUCGGGUUGAACAUUUUCAGUAGCUAUUGUGUUGCUGGUAUCAAAAGUUAAGCAAUGCCAAUUUGCAUUUUAAUAUUAUUUGCUCUAUUAAUUUUUGCAUACACAUUUGCAUCUAAUAAUAAGGACGAUGAUGAUAAUGAGGGAGGUGAUCCGUUUUAUUUGUGUAUGUUAAGAACAAACGCCACAUACCAGCAAGUAGAUGAAUUCGCAAGAGACGAAGUAAAGAGCAUUAAUUUAGCAGAAAACAAUCACAAUCUAAAAUGUUAUAUCCAAUGUGUGUUACAAAAAUUUAAUUUAGUUAAAGGAUGUACUUUUAUUAAAGGUACAAUACCGUUGUCAGUUGAUGCGAAUGUAAGAGUUCGAAUUAAUAGGGGUUGUUUUGAAUUACUGAAUAACCUUAACGGAAACGAUACUUGUGAAUGUGGAUUCCAGGCUUUGAAAUGUAUUCAAAAUACAUUAUCUAAUAAUUUUAAUUUAUAAAAUUUUACCAAUUAGUAGAUGAUAGUAAAUGGUAUUAUAAAAUUAUUGUUAUUUUAUUGUUUGUGUGUACAUUUCUUUUCUUUUCAAAGAUAUUAUUUCUUUUGAAGAGUUGGUAAAUUUUGAAAUGUAUAUUAUAAAUAUGGAACUAGAUAUUUUUGAAUCAAAAACUUCGAAAGCAACAUAAAGAAGAGCAAUAACAUUAAAAUUGUGAGACUUAAGUAAUUUAAAGUAGCUGUAAAAUUGGUAAUUCAAUUUGCAGGAGUCUUACUUAAAGCCAAAAAUUUUAAAAAGGCAAGAGUUUUGGAGUACUUUUAUGUAACUGUAACCAUAAACCUAUAUUUUUUUUCAGUAAGGUACAAAUUCUAAUGCUACAAGAAACAUUUGUGUGUGUCUAUUAGGAUUGAUAUUAAUGCAAAUAUUAAUGAAAUAUAAGGUUUAAAUGAA
This is a long non-coding RNA of Eupeodes corollae, 977 nucleotides long. RefSeq lists it as uncharacterized. The record is from RefSeq and is a predicted model, not a curated record. NCBI's taxonomy places the organism in Eukaryota, Metazoa, Arthropoda, Insecta, Diptera, Syrphidae. The transcript is spliced from 2 exons.